GCUCAUUUUCAUUGCGGUAAUUCCCAUUUUAACUCGCUAAACAAAAACUUACUAAAUGAUUGAUUUUUUUUAGGAAAGGCUGUUGUAACAUUGCAAAGAAUUAUAUUUUUAACGCCUUUCGGAACAAUUUUGGUUCAUUAAAAGAACGUGGGUAAGUCUUAUUUAAUUGUGAGAUAAUUAAAUAUAUUAUUUUAAAACAAUUAGAAUUAUAACGCUCGCAUUCAGGUUUUCCGAUAUAAGCCUAUAUUAUAUAUGUAAUGGUCCAAAAAGAUUUACAAUUAAGUAGACUCUAUAUAGGCCUACUCUUGUUUUAUGUGUCAUUAAAUCUACCAUUAUAUUAUAUCUUCUUAUGUAUCUUUUAAAAAUACAGGGGGGGG
Biomphalaria pfeifferi is the source of this 377-nucleotide non-coding RNA. NCBI's taxonomy places the organism in Eukaryota, Metazoa, Mollusca, Gastropoda, Planorbidae. The record is from the annotation of a GenBank genome assembly.